UAGCGGAACUCCUACGGGAGGCAGCAGUGGGGAAUAUUGGGCAAUGGGGGAAACCCUGACCCAGCAACGCCGCGUGAAGGAAGAAGGCUUUCGGGUUGUAAACUUCUUUUACCAGGGACGAAGGACGUGACGGUACCUGGAGAAAAAGCCACGGCUAACUACGUGCCAGCAGCCGCGGUAAUACGUAGGUGGCAAGCGUUGUCCGGAUUUACUGGGUGUAAAGGGCGUGUAGGCGGAGAAGCAAGUCAGAAGUGAAAUCCAUGGGCUUAACCCAUGAACUGCUUUUGAAACUGUUUCCCUUGAGUAUCGGAGAGGCAGGCGGAAUUCCUAGUGUAGCGGUGAAAUGCGUAGAUAUUAGGAGGAACACCAGUGGCGAAGGCGGCCUGCUGGACGACAACUGACGCUGAGGCGCGAAAGCGUGGGGAGCAAACAGGAUUAGAAACCCUAGUAGUCCACUUAUG
RNAcentral lists this ribosomal RNA (461 nucleotides) under uncultured bacterium. Its description in RNAcentral is "bacterial SSU rRNA". It matches the Rfam family "Bacterial small subunit ribosomal RNA", at positions 328 to 803 of the family's 1533-position model. The record is from RNAcentral.